CCGUGUUCCGGCACUGGGCCAUCCGGGUGGUGAAGUUGGAGGCGGAUGUAAAUUACUACCUGGUUCAGGGCAGUGAUGAAGGCGUCUUCAGACAGCAAGACAUUAGGCCUGUAUCUUCUCCUAUGGCUGACAGAAAAUUUGUGGUGCGUGGUACUGCAUUCCUAAUCGUGAUCUAGCACUUCUGGAAACUGCUGGAGAACUUCCAGAAAGAUGUUGAUCCUGUCCCACUACUUGGAAGAAGUAGGAAAAAACUAAUAACAGGAAAGGCAAGAAAGCCCCAGCUACCCACAGAAGACUGCUACCUUGAAAUAGACAAACUUGAUCUGACACCAGCAAAUAGGAACAGAUCCUUCAGAAAAAGGUUUGAGGCCUCUUUCAAGGGGAUGUCUACUGGAGAAGCAUGGGGCUCUUGUCCCAUGUACCAGGAAGAAGAUCACAGUAACAAUAAGGUCUAUGUGGGAGGUCCUUCACAAUAUGCCUUGAUUAAAGAAAGGUGGAUAUGUGUUUAAUCCUAAUUUUACUGUCUGAAAGAAGAAAUAAAAUGCUUAAGGAAAA
Molecule: long non-coding RNA, 555 nt
Organism: Apus apus (common swift)
Lineage: Eukaryota; Metazoa; Chordata; Aves; Apodiformes; Apodidae
Exons: 2
Source: RefSeq, a predicted model, not a curated record